UCGCCCACGGAGGAAUGGCUACAUCAGCGACAGCUCCGAGGAGGGGGAGGGAGCAUCCAAGAGGAGCUCUUUGGCCCAGCAGUUGAUGGAUACGCCAGCACCUGACGCCAAAACCCAACCGCUCGUGAGGCAGCCCAAUGAGCAUGACGGUCUCUCAUCAUCCACUCCCCUAGAGGAGGAAAGCGACCGUGGCUCCUGGGAGUCACUGGUGGACAAGUACAGUGAAGGAAAAGACCUCAUGGUUAUUAGAAAAAGCCAAAGAGAAGAAAGUGCCCAUGAAAAUCUAUCCAGAUAUUACAGGAGACACCAUGGCUUGGAAGGGAGAAAGCACGUUUAGUACAACACCAUACUGCUAAUCACCAUCAUCCACUGCUUCCGCUGCAGCUCUGCUCUCCUGGUACCAUGAAUCCACCUUGCAGGUCCUCUCAUCGUUCUAUUCUCGUGGAAUCCAUCGUCAUCCACUGCUUCCGCUGCAACUCUGCUGUCCUGCAGACGCCAUACCACGGGAAGCAUGGAGCCCGCUCAGCUAAAUGCUGCUAUUGUGAGCAUUGUAAACACCUCGCGCAUUAUCCUGCAGUAUGUGCAGAACCUGCAAAAGCAGGCGAGGAGGUGACGACAGCGCGAUCAUGAUAGUGAUGAGGACAUGGACACAGACUUCUCUCAAAGCACGGGCCCUGGCAAUUUGGACAUCAUGGUAGUAAUGGGGCAGGUUCAUGCCAUGGAACGCUGAUUCUGGGCCCAGGAAACAAGCACAGACUGGUGGGACUGCAUAGUGUUGCAGGUCUGGGAUGAUUCCCAGUGGCUGCGAAACUUUUGCAUGUGUAAGGGCACUUUCAUGGAACUUUGUGACUUGCUUUCCCCUUCCCUGAAGCGGAAGAAUACCAAGAUGAGAGUAGCUCUCACAGUUGAGAAGCGAGUGGAGAUAGCCCUCUGGAAGCUUGCAACGCCAGACAGCUACCAGUCAGUCGGGAAUCAAUUUGGAGUGGGUAAAUAUAAUGUGGGGGCUGCUGUGAUCCAAGUAGCCAAUGCAAUCAUUGAGCUGCUGCUAUCAAGGGUAGUGACUCUGGGAAAUGUGCAGGUCAUAGUGGAUGGCUCUGCUGCAAUGGGGUUCCCUAACUGUGGUGGGGCGAUAGAUAGAACGCAUAUCCCUAUCUUGGGACUGGACCACCUUGGCAGCCAGUACGUAAACCGCAAGGGGUACUUUUCAGUGGUGCUGCAAGCACUGGUGGAUCACAAGGGACAUUUCACCGACAUCAACGUGGGAUGGCCGGAAAAGGUGCAUGACGCUCGCAUCGUCAGGAACUCUGUUUGAACAGCUGCAGGAAGGAACUUACUUCCCAGACCAGAAAAUUACUGUUGGGAGUGUUGAAAUGCCUAUAGUUAUUCUCAGGGACCUAGCCUAUCCCUUAAUGCCCUGGCUCAUGAAGCCUACACAGGCACCCUGGACAGUAGUAAGGAGCAGUUCAACUAUAGGCUGAGCAAGUGCAGAAUGGUGGUAAAAUGUGCAUUUGGAUGUUUAAAAGCUCGCUGGCGCAGUUUACUGACUAGGUUAGACCUCAGCGAAACCAAUAUUCCCAUUGUUAUUGCUGCUUGCUGUGUGCUUCACAAUAUCUGUGAGAGUGAGGGGGAGACAUUUAUGGCGGGGUGCGAGGUUUAGGCAAAUCACUUGGCGGCCGAUUACGUGCAGCCAGACACCAGGGCAAUUAGAGGAGCACAGCUGGGCGCCCUACGCAUCAGAGAAACUUUGAAAAUCAGUUUCAUAACUGGCCAGGCUACAGUGUGACAGUUCUGUUUGUUUCUUCUUGAUGAAAACCCACCUUCUUGGUUGACUCUACUUCCCUGUAAGCCAACUGACCUCCCCUCUUCGA
Molecule: long non-coding RNA, 1868 nt
Organism: Caretta caretta (loggerhead turtle)
Lineage: Eukaryota; Metazoa; Chordata; Testudines; Cheloniidae
Source: RefSeq, a predicted model, not a curated record